This is a long non-coding RNA of Lampris incognitus (smalleye Pacific opah), 1472 nucleotides long. RefSeq lists it as uncharacterized. The transcript is spliced from 3 exons. The record is from RefSeq and is a predicted model, not a curated record. Lineage: Eukaryota; Metazoa; Chordata; Actinopteri; Lampriformes; Lampridae.
GCUGAACCCCGUUCACAUUGGGCUAGGGGAGGGAGAGAACUGGGUCAGGUUCUGGUUUGAAUCUAGGUCGCUCACAUAAGUAUUUCACAGAGCUUAGCAAUGAUGAAUUGUUAGAGGCCAGCGGUCCACCAUGGGGUGAUUAGCGCUGAGCGAGGAGCGGGCCGUCUCUCUCUGGAACUCUCUCUGGUUGGCCCAGGUACCGGCAUCACGAGGCAGGCUACGAUACGUGUCCAUGCCUUUACCCUGCAAAGAAAGAUGCUCCAGCAGCGUGCAACGUACUGGUUCGCAGGGCAGAAGGCGUGACUUCGAUCUCGCUGGCCUGGUAGGGCUGGAAGGCCGAGACGCCGGGGGUGCUCAGCUCUGAGGUGAACAGGUCAGGACUCUGGGUCCCCGUGGAGCUGGCACUGGUACCAUCAGCCCCAUGGUGGGGCUCCUGCUCAUCAUACACCGCUAUGAGCUGUGAGAGAGCGAGAGAGAGAAAUGUUAGAAGAGAAAAAGAAAAGGAAAAUAGAUUUAAUUUCAGAACACCAUUGAAUCGUGGCCUAAAAACUCAUUAAAAAAAGCAGUGAAUAGGGAUGACAAACGCUGUUGCCUUACAGUUGCUAAAGCUUUCUGAACAGCAUCAGUAAUGGGGUACUGCCAUGAUUUUUUUUUUUAAUUCAAUUUUCAUUUGGUGUAAAGCAAUAAUAGAAGUGUGAUAUCCAUCUGUUUUUCUACUGAAAAUCUGAAAUGUUGAGUUUAGUCAAAGGUCAUCUUGUUUGAAAAGACAUCCUAUAUAAUUUCAUAUCUGUCAAUAACAGAAACCCAUGUGUCUAUUUCUGUCGGAUUCUGAGUUACAACCUUCUGAAAUGCCAUGAUGUGGAGGGUGACCUUUGAAGGUGACAAUGUAAAAGGUCAUGGUGAGCGAAAGCAGGACUUCCUGUUUGUCAACAACAGUAAUCAAGUGGCUCUCUGUAGCUGUUAAUUAAGAGUUAAAGCUUUUUCAAAUCCCAUAACUGUGAAGUUUGAACUUUCAAGUUGACAGGGUCAUGCUGCCAAAUGACAAUCUUUGUAAUAAUAAUAAUAAAAAAUUAAACUUAUAUAGCACUUUUCUAACACUCAAAGUCGCUUUACAAUAAAUGGAGUGAAACAAGACAACAGAUAAACAUAACACAAACAUACAGGGGUGGAUGGGAAGGGGGGCUACGAGAGAGAGAAGUGGCAGCCACACACGACGCCAGCAGUGCUCUCCCACUUAAACACAUACAAAAAACAAAAACAUUGUGAAUUAAUCUGUCAAUAAAAAUAGGCUAUCUGCAACCAUUUCUGAGCGAUACUGAACUAUAUAUGUAGCGUUGACUGACGGCGUUGAUCUCCUAUAUGUCAGACCUUAUCAACCAUUAAAACAAUGGUAAAUGGACUGCAUUUAUACAGUGCUUUUCUAGUCUACUGACCACUCCAAGUGCUUUACAGUGUACACCUCACAAUCACCC